AGUGAACGCUGGCGGUAGGCCUAACACAUGCAAGUCGAACGGCAGCACGGUAAGAGCUUGCUCUUACGGGUGGCGAGUGGCGGACGGGUGAGGAAUACAUCGGAAUCUACUUUUUCGUGGGGGAUAACGUAGGGAAACUUACGCUAAUACCGCAUACGACCUACGGGUGAAAGCAGGGGAUCUUCGGACCUUGCGCGAUUGAAUGAGCCGAUGUCGGAUUAGCUAGUUGGCGGGGUAAAGGCCCACCAAGGCGACGAUCCGUAGCUGGUCUGAGAGGAUGAUCAGCCACACUGGAACUGAGACACGGUCCAGACUCCGACGGGAGGCAGCAGUGGGGAAUAUUGGACAAUGGGCGCAAGCCUGAUCCAGCCAUACCGCGUGGGUGAAGAAGGCCUUCGGGUUGUAAAGCCCUUUUGUUGGGAAAGAAAAGCAGCAGGUUAAGACCCCGCUGUUCGGACGGGACCCAAAGAAUAAGCACCGGCUAACUGCGG
Molecule: ribosomal RNA, 491 nt
Filed under: uncultured bacterium
Lineage: Bacteria
Description: partial 16S ribosomal RNA
Rfam family: Bacterial small subunit ribosomal RNA
Source: RNAcentral